RNAcentral lists this ribosomal RNA (502 nucleotides) under uncultured Glomeromycotina. RNAcentral's name for it is "partial small subunit ribosomal RNA". It matches the Rfam family "Eukaryotic small subunit ribosomal RNA", at positions 591 to 1092 of the family's 1831-position model. The record is from RNAcentral. Lineage: Eukaryota; Fungi; Glomeromycota.
CCAAUAGCGUAUAUUAAAGUUGUUGCAGUUAAAAAGCUCGUAGUUGAAUUUCGGGAUCUAUCCGUCGGUCGGGCCUCACGGUCCGCACUGGUGUGAUGGGUUCCUACCUUCUGAAUAACCGGUAUGCCAUUAAUUUGAUGUGCCGGGGAAGCAGAACCAUUACCUUGAAAAAAUUAGAGUGCUCAAAGCAGGCCUAUGCCUGAAUACAUUAGCAUGGAAUAAUAAAAUAGGACGGCAUGGUUCUAUUUUGUUGGUUUCUAGGAUCACCGUAAUGAUUAAUAGGGAUAGUUGGGUGCAUUAGUAUUCAAUUGUCAGAAGUGAAAUUCUUGGAUUUAUUGAAGACUAACUUCUGCGAAAGCAGUUGCCAAGGAUGUUUUCAUUAAUCAAGAACGAAAGUUAGGGGAUCGAAGACGAUCAGAUACCGUCGUAGUCUUAACCAUAAACUAUGCCGACUAGGGAUCGGACGAUGUUAAUUUUAUAAUGACUCGUUCGGCGCCUUACG